GGAACCUACGGCAAUGGAGUCUGCCUUUUAACCGCCCCUUCGGCUGAUGACUCCUACUCAAAC
RNAcentral lists this non-coding RNA (63 nucleotides) under Bdellovibrionales bacterium. RNAcentral describes it as "Fluoride sequence". It matches the Rfam family "Fluoride riboswitch aptamer (crcB RNA motif)". Lineage: Bacteria; Pseudomonadati; Bdellovibrionota; Bdellovibrionia; Bdellovibrionales. The record is from RNAcentral.